CAGUAGCCGCGGUAAUACGAGGGGGGCAAGCGUUGUUCGGAAUUAUUGGGCGUAAAGGGCGCGUAGGCGGUUUGACAAGUCUCAUGUGAAAUCUUCGGGCUCAACUCGAAGUCUGCAUGGGAAACUGUCGGGCUUGAGUAUGGGAGAGGUGAGUGGAAUUUCCGGUGUAGCGGUGAAAUGCGUAGAUAUCGGAAGGAACACCUGUGGCGAAAGCGGCUCACUGGACCAUAACUGACGCUGAGGCGCGAAAGCUAGGGGAGCAAACAGGAUUAGAUACCCCCGUAGUCCCUGUCUCUUAUAA
This 301-nucleotide ribosomal RNA is filed under the name uncultured bacterium. Its description in RNAcentral is "partial 16S ribosomal RNA". It matches the Rfam family "Bacterial small subunit ribosomal RNA", at positions 509 to 809 of the family's 1533-position model. The record is from RNAcentral.